GACGAACGCUGGCGGCGUGCUUAACACAUGCAAGUCGAACGGAAAGGCCCCUUUGGGGGUACUCGAGUGGCGCACGGGUGAGUAACACGUGAGUAACCUGCCCUUGACUUCGGGAUAACUUCAGGAAACUGGGGCUAAUACCGGAUAGGAAUCCUUGCUGCAUGGUGGGGGUUGGAAAGCUUCGGCGGUUUUGGAUGGACUCGCGGCUUAUCAGCUUGUUGGUGGGGUAGUGGCUUACCAAGGCUUUGACGGGUAGCCGGCCUGAGAGGGCGACCGGCCACAUUGGGACUGAGAUACGGCCCAGACUCCGACGGGAGGCAGAGGUGGGGAAUAUUGCACAAUGGGCGGAAGCCUGAUGCAGCAACGCCGCGUGCGGGAUGACGGCCUUCGGGUUGUAAACCGCUUUCAGCAGGGGCGAAGCUUGUGGUGACGGUACCUGCAGAAGAAGCACCGGCUAACUACGUG
RNAcentral lists this ribosomal RNA (465 nucleotides) under uncultured bacterium. Its description in RNAcentral is "partial 16S ribosomal RNA". It matches the Rfam family "Bacterial small subunit ribosomal RNA", at positions 28 to 507 of the family's 1533-position model. The record is from RNAcentral.